RNAcentral lists this ribosomal RNA (460 nucleotides) under uncultured bacterium. Its description in RNAcentral is "partial 16S ribosomal RNA". It matches the Rfam family "Bacterial small subunit ribosomal RNA", at positions 338 to 795 of the family's 1533-position model. The record is from RNAcentral.
CCUACGGGAGGCAGCAGUGAGGAAUAUUGGUCAAUGGACGAAAGUCUGAACCAGCCACGUAGCGUGAGGGAUGACGGCUCUAUGGGUUGUAAACUUCUUUUAUAAAGGAAUAAAACGAGGCACGUGUGCCUUUUUGCAUGGCUAUUAUGAAUACGGCACGGGUAAUUCCGUGCCAGCAGCCGGGGUAAUACGGAGGUACCGAGCGUUAUCCGGAUUUAUUGGGUUUAAAGGGAGCGUAGAUGGGUUGUUAAGUCAGUUGUGAAAGUUUGAGGAUCAAACGUAGAAUUGCAAUUGAUACGGGCAGGAUUGAGUACAGUUGAGGUAGGGGGAAUUCGUGGUGUAGCGGUGAAAUGCGUAGAUAUCACGAAGAACCCCGAUUGCGAAGGCAGCUUACUAAACUGUGACUGACAUUGAUGCUCGAAAGUGUGGGGAUCAAACAGGAUUAGAUACCCUAGUAGUC